This 1492-nucleotide ribosomal RNA is filed under the name uncultured Halomonas sp. RNAcentral's name for it is "bacterial SSU rRNA". It matches the Rfam family "Bacterial small subunit ribosomal RNA". Lineage: Bacteria; Pseudomonadati; Pseudomonadota; Gammaproteobacteria; Oceanospirillales; Halomonadaceae. The record is from RNAcentral.
GCCUAACACAUGCAAGUCGAGCGGCAGCACGGGAAGCUUGCUUCCUGGUGGCGAGCGGCGGACGGGUGAGUAAUGCAUAGGAAUCUGCCCGGUAGUGGGGGAUAACCUGGGGAAACCCAGGCUAAUACCGCAUACGUCCUACGGGAGAAAGCAGGGGCUCUUCGGACCUUGCGCUAUCGGAUGAGCCUAUGUCGGAUUAGCUGGUUGGUGAGGUAAUGGCUCACCAAGGCGACGAUCCGUAGCUGGUCUGAGAGGAUGAUCAGCCACAUCGGGACUGAGACACGGCCCGAACUCCUACGGGAGGCAGCAGUGGGGAAUAUUGGACAAUGGGCGCAAGCCUGAUCCAGCCAUGCCGCGUGUGUGAAGAAGGCCCUCGGGUUGUAAAGCACUUUCAGUGGGGAAGAACGCCUUCCGGUUAAUACCCGGGAGAAAGACAUCACCCACAGAAGAAGCACCGGCUAACUCCGUGCCAGCAGCCGCGGUAAUACGGAGGGUGCGAGCGUUAAUCGGAAUUACUGGGCGUAAAGCGCGCGUAGGUGGCUUGAUAAGCCGGUUGUGAAAGCCCCGGGCUCAACCUGGGAACGGCAUCCGGAACUGUCAGGCUAGAGUGCAGGAGAGGAAGGUAGAAUUCCCGGUGUAGCGGUGAAAUGCGUAGAGAUCGGGAGGAAUACCAGUGGCGAAGGCGGCCUUCUGGACUGACACUGACACUGAGGUGCGAAAGCGUGGGUAGCAAACAGGAUUAGAUACCUGGUAGUCCACGCCGUAAACGAUGUCGACUAGCCGUUGGGUCCUUCGCGGACUUUGUGGCGCAGUUAACGCGAUAAGUCGACCGCCUGGGGAGUACGGCCGCAAGGUUAAAACUCAAAUGAAUUGACGGGGGCCCGCACAAGCGGUGGAGCAUGUGGUUUAAUUCGAUGCAACGCGAAGAACCUUACCUACCCUUGACAUCCUGCGAACCCUUCGGAGACGAAGGGGUGCCUUCGGGAACGCAGAGACAGGUGCUGCAUGGCUGUCGUCAGCUCGUGUUGUGAAAUGUUGGGUUAAGUCCCGUAACGAGCGCAACCCUUGUCCCUAUUUGCCAGCGACUCGGUCGGGAACUCUAGGGAGACUGCCGGUGACAAACCGGAGGAAGGUGGGGACGACGUCAAGUCAUCAUGGCCCUUACGGGUAGGGCUACACACGUGCUACAAUGGUCAGUACAAAGGGUUGCGAACUUGCGAGAGUGGGCCAAUCCCAGAAAGCUGAUCUCAGUCCGGAUCGGAGUCUGCAACUCGACUCCGUGAAGUCGGAAUCGCUAGUAAUCGUGAAUCAGAAUGUCACGGUGAAUACGUUCCCGGGCCUUGUACACACCGCCCGUCACACCAUGGGAGUGGACUGCACCAGAAGUGGUUAGCCUAACCUUCGGGAGGGCGAUCACCACGGUGUGGUUCAUGACUGGGGUGAAGUCGUAACAAGGUAGCCGUAGGGGAACCUGCGGCUGGAUCACCUCCUU